UGCAAGCGCACUCUGUGUCAUAUUGAACUGUAGCCCCCAUGUGAUUACAAUUUGUAAGCUUGCCAGAGGAAAUAUGCAAUCGGUGCUCUGCUUAUCCAUGUGGCAGCGAUCUUGUUGCUGCUGCAUUGAAUUCGGGCUCCACACUAG
Molecule: small nucleolar RNA, 147 nt
Organism: Drosophila kikkawai
Lineage: Eukaryota; Metazoa; Arthropoda; Insecta; Diptera; Drosophilidae
Product: small nucleolar RNA psi18S-841/snoR66
Source: RefSeq, a predicted model, not a curated record